AAGAGAUACUUAAUAUUGUAGAAGGAUAACGAACUUACAAAAAAGCAAGGCCAUGAUGAUGAGGAUCUUCGAUACUCUUUUUUUUUUUUUUGCGUCAUUUGUGUGCCUUUGUCUUAGUCUGUUUCUGAAUUCCAAACAAACACGAAGGGGGACAAG
This 156-nucleotide non-coding RNA is filed under the name Protocruzia adhaerens. The record is from RNAcentral. Lineage: Eukaryota; Ciliophora; Spirotrichea.